CCUACGGGUGGCAGCAGUGAGGAAUAUUGGUCAAUGGCCGGAAGGCUGAACCAGCCAAGCCGCGUGAAGGACGAAGGUGCCAAGCAUUGUAAACUUCUUUUGUCAAGGGACAAAAUCAGGCUCGAGAGCCUGACCGAGGGUACUUGAAGAAAAAGCAUCGGCUAACUCCGUGCCAGCAGCCGCGGUAAUACGGAGGAUGCGAGCGUUAUCCGGAUUUAUUGGGUUUAAAGGGAGCGUAGGUGGAUUGUUAAGUCAGUUGUGAAAGUUUGCGGCUCAACCGUAAAAUUGCAGUUGAAACUGGCAGUCUUGAGUACAGUAGAGGUGGGCGGAAUUCGUGGUGUAGCGGUGAAAUGCUUAGAUAUCACGAAGAACUCCGAUUGCGAAGGCAGUUCACUGGACUGCAACUGACACUGAGGCUCGAAAGUGUGGGUAUCAAACAGGAUUAGAUACCCUAGUAGUC
Molecule: ribosomal RNA, 460 nt
Filed under: uncultured bacterium
Lineage: Bacteria
Description: partial 16S ribosomal RNA
Rfam family: Bacterial small subunit ribosomal RNA
Source: RNAcentral